GUGUUGGUGCUGGGCAGGCCCCAGGCAGAACAAUGAGAAUAUGAGAAAUCAGGGUCCCCUGAGUUGGGGAUGGGAUCUUGGAGCCCCGGGGUGGGGGUCUGGCUGGAGGAGGAAGUGAUGGACGCGAGAGGGCCCCUCCUGAGGCUUGGGGAUUCUGCUGCCCAGCAAGCAGAGCUACCUGUAGGCUUGGACAGACCCUGCCGCCGAAGGGGGUGUACCCCUGUUGGCCACCCAAUGGAGCCCGAUGGGGUGGAGGCUCACCCGGGCCUUGCCUUCCGGGCUACCGCGGCUAAACGGCUUCCCCGCUCGGGGCGGGCAGCCCCCUCCCCGGCCCUGCGGCUGCACGCAGAAUCAGGCCAGCAUCUCUCCCCAGGCCCCAGCUCUUGGGCGUGGGCCCCAGGUGGGUUAGCGCUCGCCUGACAUAACCCGUUAGCGCCUCUCGCCUUGGCGGCUCCCCGCUCCGCCCGCCUCCCCGCUGACCCUCUCUGGGCUGCCUCACCAGGGCAGGGUGAGAAGGCAUCUGCAGGGUGACCAGCAGCCCCCCAAGGUCUGCAAGGAGGGCCGCUGUGCCCACCCCGCUCUCCUCCGCUCGGGCCCAGAGGCAGCCUCUAGGCUGAGAUUCCCAGAAGCCACUGCGGGCGGGGGAGGGUCUUCCAUCAGUCUGCCUCUGCCACCAUCUGACCCGCCAGAGGAAAAAGCAGAAAGAAGGAGGAAAGGACUUUCUGGGGCCAGGGGUGUCAUCGCUGGACAGCCCAGACUGGCCUGCUUUGCUCCACUGAUACUUUCUAACAACCUCUCCCACCCGGAGCCCUUUGCCCUUCUUGGGCGUGGACAUGGCAGCCGUCCUCACUGGGUACUUCAUUUGUUCGAGGGCAAGGGGAGAAUCAAACCGGAUGGGAAGGGCUUUCUGGAGGGGAGGUGCCUCCAGUCUUUUAUCAGACCCUGCGGACGUGGCCUUGCUUUUGCACGCUGCCCUGACCCCUUGGC
Long non-coding RNA from Bos taurus (domestic cattle), 987 nucleotides. The record is from Ensembl. NCBI's taxonomy places the organism in Eukaryota, Metazoa, Chordata, Mammalia, Artiodactyla, Bovidae.